AGAAAAAACACCUCUGAUCGCUCUGGAAGGAAAUAAAAAAAGGCACCGAAAGCGGUGACGAGGUCGCAACUGGCGGAAGCGGCGACAAGGUCAGAUCCCCCGACGGAAGCGGCGGCGACCCGGCGACCGUACGCCGACCACCUCGCUCUCAGACCCUCCUUCCUCAUCGAGUUCGACGAGAUCAGCGCCGGCCCCAUCCAGAUGGUCCAUCAGCUUAACUCAUUUGAGCUGCCGGGCAGCCGUGUGCAAUCACAAGGAUUUCUUCACAUGGAUGUUCAUCGUGCCCGCGGCUGUGUGCAGUCACAAGGACUUGGUGCUAUUGAUGACGAUCGUGCUCGCAGUUGUGGGCAAUCACAAGGACUUGGUGAUAUUGAUGACAAUCACGGGGCUGUUGAGUAUCCUCGUGAUAUAGGUAUGACGAAGAGGGCUAAGUGGACUCAUCAAAUGAAGUUGUUUCUUAUUGACUUGCUGAAAGAGCAUGAUGUUCCUGGUUUUCGAACACAAAAUGCAUGGAGCAAAGAGGCCUGGACAAACAUUGUUAAUCGACUAAAUCAAGCAUUUUGUGUAUCAUUUAGUGUUGUUCAAGUCAAACAAAAGGAGCAAGAUAUAAAGAAGGAAUAUCGAAGUGUGAAAGAAUUGUUGGCAGAAAGUGGGUUUGGAUGGGACAAGGAUAGAAUGAUGGUAGAAGCACCAGCAAGUGUUUGGGCUAGUUUUGUUGCUCGCAAGAAUAGUAAGGAGGCCCUCCAAUGGCGAGACAAGUCGUUUCCAUACUUUAAUGAUUUGGCUUCUCUCUAUGAUGGUCGUUACGCCGAAGGAAGAUCUCGUCAUGGUAUGGAUUAUUAUGCUAACAAGGCAAAAAAUGCAUCUGCUCCAUCAUCGCACCCAACACAUUCGAAUGAUACAUAUGAAUCAUCUUCACCUCCAACAGUAGCUCUAGAUGAGCCAGGUUUGCAAUUUCCUUUGGAAGAAGAGGUUGAGGGAGCAAAUCUUGAUUCUGUCCAGCAUACAUCAACACCGAAUGAACAAAUGUAUACCCAAUCAAUACCCCCAAAAGCACCCACCGAGAAGCCUGAGAGUAGACGUAGAAAAAGACAGAAGCAAAAUCCUACAAGCUCUGCAGAUGGAUUCCAUGAAAGAUACCUUAGGCUCAAGAUGGAAGAAAUAAAUCGAUUUGCAGCCAUUGAGGAGAAGAAACUAGAGGAUCCAUUUAGCAUUCACAAGUGCAUCACAACGAUUGAAGGAUUGGAUGGUCUACAAUUGGGCGAUGUGUUGUUGGCAUCAGACAUCUUCAAAACUAGGGAAAACAGGGAGAUUUUCCUGUCUUUCUCUAGUGAUGAACGACGGUUGGCUUGGAUUAAAAGGGAGAUUGCUCGUACCAACGAAAACUAAGGAAAACAUGGAGAUGAUACCUAGUACCACGGUAUGGAGCAAGAAAUUGGGGUGUGUUUGCAUAACCAGCAUCAACAAGCAAGGGGAAGAUGAAAGCAUAGAGCACAGGCAGCAAGGGGAAGAUGAAAGAAUAGAGCACAGGCAGCAAAUGCUGUGGGCAGGGAAAAGAGCUAUCCGUUGUAGAGAGUAGCAUCAGGUUAUAUAGGCACUUGCUGCUAACGGCUACUUCAGGCAGUUGACUGCACUAGCCGUUGGAAGUUUGAAAAACAUCAGACUUACAAAUAGAAAUAAUAAUACUUUAUUGUAUAGGAUUCCUGUACGUCUCCUAUGAUGCAGCCAAAGGCACUUUGUUACCAGUUCCUCUGGAUUUGCAUUCCAUAGGAUUGGCUAUGUCAUGGCAGUCAAAUCCUCCAUUUUUCCUAUUCCUUUGUUUUGCAAAUCCUGUGAUCCAAAGAA
Molecule: RNA transcript, 1845 nt
Organism: Triticum aestivum (bread wheat)
Lineage: Eukaryota; Viridiplantae; Streptophyta; Magnoliopsida; Poales; Poaceae
Exons: 6
Source: RefSeq, a predicted model, not a curated record